RNAcentral lists this ribosomal RNA (406 nucleotides) under uncultured bacterium. Its description in RNAcentral is "partial 16S ribosomal RNA". It matches the Rfam family "Bacterial small subunit ribosomal RNA", at positions 30 to 526 of the family's 1533-position model. The record is from RNAcentral.
AUUGAACGCUGGCGGCAGGCCUAACACAUGCAAGUCGAACGAGCGGCGGACGGGUGAGUAAUGUAUGGGCAUCUGCCUGAUGGAGGGGGAUAACUACUGGAAACGGUGGCUACUACCGCAUACUAUCAGAUGUGCCCAGAUGGGAUUAGCUAGUUGGUGGGGUAAAGGCUCACCAAGGCGACGAUCCCUAGCUGGUCUGAGAGGAUGAUCAGCCACACUGGAACGGAGACACGGUCCAGACUCCUACGGGAGGCAGCAGUGGGGAAUAUUGCACAAUGGGCGCAAGCCUGAUGCAGCCAUGCCGCGUGUAUGAAGAAGGCCUUCGGGUUGUAAAGUACUUUCAGCGGGGAGGCGUUACCCGCAGAAGAAGCACCGGCUAACUCCGUGCCAGCAGCCGCGGUAAUUC